This 478-nucleotide ribosomal RNA is filed under the name uncultured bacterium. RNAcentral describes it as "SSU rRNA". It matches the Rfam family "Bacterial small subunit ribosomal RNA", at positions 26 to 523 of the family's 1533-position model. The record is from RNAcentral.
AGGACGAACGCUGGCGGCGUGCUUAACACAUGCAAGUCGAACGGAAAGGCCCGCUUGCGGGUACUCGAGUGGCGAACGGGUGAGUAACACGUGGGCAACCUGCCCUCAGCUUCGGGAUAACACUUGGAAACAGGUGCUAAUACCGGAUAAUAACCUUUCAUCGCAUGGUGGUUGGUUCAAAGUUUUUCGGCUGAGGAUGGGCCCGCGGCCUAUCAGCUUGUUGGUGGGGUAAUGGCCUACCAAGGCGACGACGGGUAGCCGGCCUGAGAGGGCGACCGGCCACACUGGGACUGAGACACGGCCCAGACUCCUACGGGAGGCAGCAGUGGGGAAUAUUGCGCAAUGGGCGGAAGCCUGACGCAGCGACGCCGCGUGAGGGAUGACGGCCUUGGUUGUAACCUCUUCAGCUCUGACGAAGCGCAAGUGACGGUAGGAGCAGAAGAAGCACCGGCCAACUACGCGCCAGCAGCCGCGGUAA